This 1175-nucleotide unclassified non-coding RNA is filed under the name Hevea brasiliensis (rubber tree). The record is from RNAcentral. Lineage: Eukaryota; Viridiplantae; Streptophyta; Magnoliopsida; Malpighiales; Euphorbiaceae.
CUUAAUAUCGGUCACAGCUCUCCGGAGCUGAUCACACCACAACCAAAUUCUACCGUCGGAGCUUGGGAAAUCUGAUUUCCCAGCCUUUCGCGACUUUGAGUGGAUUUGGUGCGGGAAAUGCAAUUGAGGAAAUCAUGAAAAAGGUGACAAGGAAGGUGGGUAAGUAUGAAGUCGGCCGGACCAUUGGCGAAGGGACUUUCGCCAAGGUUAAAUUUGCACAGAACAUGGAGACAGGAGAGAGCGUAGCCAUGAAAGUCAUGGCCAAAAGCACCAUUCUUAAGCACAAAAUGGUUGAUCAGAUUAAAAGGGAGAUAUCUAUCAUGAAGAUUGUCAGACAUCCUAACAUAGUUAUGCUGCACGAGGUCUUGGCAAAUCGGACGAAGAUAUAUAUUAUUCUUGAGUUUGUUACUGGAGGAGAACUAUUUGAUAAAAUUGUUCACCAAGGAAGGCUUUCUGAAAAUGAAGCAAGGCGGUAUUUUCAACAGCUUAUAGAUGCAGUUGCUCAUUGUCAUAGUAAGGGUGUUUACCAUAGAGACCUGAAGCCUGAAAACCUACUUCUUGAUUCUGUUGGAAAUUUGAAGGUUUCUGACUUUGGAUUGAGUGCAUUGCCCCAGAAAGGGGUUGGACUUCUUCAUACCACAUGUGGAACCCCAAAUUAUGUUGCCCCUGAGGUGCUUAGCCACCAGGGUUAUGAUGGCGCUGCUGCUGAUGUAUGGUCAUGUGGAGUUAUUCUCUAUGUUCUGAUGGCUGGAUAUCUUCCAUUUGAUGAGGCAGACCUACCGACCUUGUACAAGAAGAUAAAUGCUGCAGAAUAUACUUGUCCAUUUUGGUUUUCUCCGGGGGCAAAGGCAUUGAUAGACAAGAUACUCGAUCCCAAUCCUAAAACUCGUAUACGGAUUGAAGGAAUUAAAAAGAAUCCAUGGUUUGAAAAAAAAUAUGUGCCUGUCAAAUAUAGUGAAGAAAGGGAAGUGAAUCUGGAUGAUGUUCGUGCAGUUUUUGAUGACAUUGAGGACCAAUAUGUGGCAGAACAGUCAGAAAAUAGUGAGAGUGGUCCUCUAAUAAUGAAUGCCUUUGAGAUGAUUACCCUGUCCCAAGGUUUGAAUCUAUCAGCAUUAUUUGACAGGCGACAGGAUUAUGUGAAGCGGCAAACUCGUUUUGUAUCCCGCAAACCAGCA